Molecule: transfer RNA, 74 nt
Filed under: Candidatus Woesearchaeota archaeon
Lineage: Archaea; Nanobdellati; Candidatus Woesearchaeota
Description: tRNA-Arg
Rfam family: tRNA
About the family: Transfer RNA (tRNA) molecules are approximately 80 nucleotides in length. Their secondary structure includes four short double-helical elements and three loops (D, anti-codon, and T loops).
Source: RNAcentral
GGGCCUAUGAUGUAACCUGGAUAGCAUACUUGGCUUCGGACCAAGAUAUAGGGGUUCAAAUCCUCUUAGGCCCA